This is a long non-coding RNA of Rana temporaria (common frog), 299 nucleotides long. RefSeq lists it as uncharacterized. The transcript has 3 exons. The record is from RefSeq and is a predicted model, not a curated record. Lineage: Eukaryota; Metazoa; Chordata; Amphibia; Anura; Ranidae.
GGUCAUUUAGCAGCAUAUUGGUCCGGUCCUUAAUUGCCCCGUGCAAAGUCAAGUCAAAUGAAGAUAUAUUUAAACAUCAAAGAAGAUUCAAAUUUGAUCUCUGGAUCCUUAUUUCAUGUAAUGCAACAUUUUGGUUGGAUUCAUGUUUGGUUUUCUUCUAUCAAGUUAUAAACUCAUGCCGCAUACACACGAUCGGAUUUUCUGUCCGAAAAACCUUGGAUAUUUUUUCCCUGACGGAAUUACGCUCAAGCUUGGCUUGCAUACACACGCUCACACAAAAAUUCUCUGAACUUUCGACU